GUCCACACCCUAAACGAUGAGUGUUAGAUAUUAGAUGUAUUUUUAGUAUUGUAGCUAACGCGUUAAACACUCCGCCUGAGGAGUACGGUCGCAAGAUUAAAACUCAAAGGAAUUGACGGGGACCCGCACAAGCAGUGGAGCGUGCGGUUUAAUUUGAAGGUACACGAGGAACCUUACCAACCCUGGAAACUUUAUCAUUACAGCAAUGUAGCCAAUUACCAAGAGAGGGGUGGAUUGUUUCGUAGCAAUACGAGUGGUAAAUUAGGUGUUGCAUGGCCGUCGU
RNAcentral lists this ribosomal RNA (283 nucleotides) under uncultured bacterium. RNAcentral's name for it is "partial 16S ribosomal RNA". It matches the Rfam family "Bacterial small subunit ribosomal RNA", at positions 793 to 1055 of the family's 1533-position model. The record is from RNAcentral.